Molecule: non-coding RNA, 333 nt
Organism: Misgurnus anguillicaudatus (oriental weatherfish)
Lineage: Eukaryota; Metazoa; Chordata; Actinopteri; Cypriniformes; Cobitidae
Source: the annotation of a RefSeq genome assembly
AUGCACGCAAAAGGUGUGUCUGCUCCUAAAGUGAUCGUCCUGCCGCCGUCCAGUGAAGAGAUUUCCAGCAAGAAGACAGCAACAGUGAUGUGUGUGGCCAGCAAUGGUUUCCCUUCAGACUGGAGUCUGAGCUGGAAAGUGAAUGGGAAGAUGUCAGGAUCUCAGGAGAACAGAGCUGGAGUCCUACAGAAAGACGGCGGUCUGUACAGCUGGAGCAGCAGUCUGACUCUCACUGAACAAGAAUGGAUCAACAGAGACUCAGUGAUCUGUGAGAUCAGUCGGGAAGGUCAGACAGUCACUGGAGAAGUGAAGAAAGAUCUGUGUUCUGAGUAG